Microplitis mediator is the source of this 292-nucleotide long non-coding RNA. RefSeq lists it as uncharacterized. The record is from RefSeq and is a predicted model, not a curated record. Lineage: Eukaryota; Metazoa; Arthropoda; Insecta; Hymenoptera; Braconidae. The transcript is spliced from 3 exons.
GUGAAAGUUUCGUGGUGAAAAAGCGAGCGAAAUAGCUGCCGGAGAUAUGAAUAGUCUGGUCUCUCUUCGAAUCUUAUCUGUCGGCAGUACCUCAGGUACUUGGCAAACUCGACUGAAAAAUGAAAUAAAUAAAUAAUUUAUUGUUGAAUUGACGAACGUGGCCAGCAUUAAAUUACAAGAGCUUACAAAACUUGUUGUAAAUGGCGGCUGGUGUAAAACUAUCAUGACCCACUUGGAUGUAAGAUUAAGUAGAGCAUAACUCGUAGGUAAAAUUUGAAUUAAUUACGCGAUA